AUACACUCACGCCCUUUGUUAGUUUGCCAGUUCCAUUCAUUAGUGUUAGAAGUAAGCCGUCAAUGCUCUGCAUCUUCUCUUUGAAGACAAAAUAAUGAAAAAGUAAACCAGCCCCAUCAUCAAGAAGAGAAAACAGAGAAAGCAAGCAAUAAAGGAAGGAAGAUUCAGAAGCAAGAAUCCCACCAAAAAAAUUUUAAGUCUUCUGUUCUUUCUUUCUCUUUGGUCUUUUGCUUCUUUUUCAAGCCAAAUCUUUGUUUGCUUUUUAUAUAUAAUGUGUAUAUAAUCUUUAUAUGCUGAUUGUUUCGCCAUUAAAAGCUUUCACGG
RNAcentral lists this long non-coding RNA (324 nucleotides) under Gossypium barbadense (sea-island cotton). Its description in RNAcentral is "long non-coding RNA (GBAR_LNC018365)". Lineage: Eukaryota; Viridiplantae; Streptophyta; Magnoliopsida; Malvales; Malvaceae. The record is from RNAcentral.